This 420-nucleotide long non-coding RNA is filed under the name Homo sapiens (human). RNAcentral's name for it is "non-protein coding lnc-FAM46A-4:1". Lineage: Eukaryota; Metazoa; Chordata; Mammalia; Primates; Hominidae. The record is from RNAcentral.
GGGACAGAGAGAGGACAUGUUUUUAGACUGUUAAAAUUCUACGAUCAGACUUUUGGAGCCAUAGCUGCAUGGGUCAUCCUGAAAAUGUCUGACAUGCAUUAGGUAUGCAAUAAAUGUUUGAUGAAUGAAUUCACAGCUGAUGGGUCUAGAAAGUCAUGAUCAUGAUUUUUACUUUUAAUUAAAGAAUCUGGGGAACCGUUGUAGACAUUUAAGAAGGUGAUGAUACCCAAAUGAUACUUGCAGAGGGUAGUUAGAACAAAAGAGAGAAGACAUCUUAAAUUUCUCAGAGAUGGUAAGAAUGAGGAGCUAACGAAUUAAAGCAUUUGAUUUCCCAGAAUUCUAUUUUUAACAAUUCUCACUGUAACUUACUAGGUUUAAAAUUAGUACAAAGUGUUGGAGGCAGAGUUAUUAAAUAGUUUG